CCUAAAUCAUGUACACUUAAUUCUAAUACAUUUAAAUUGAAUGGGCAGGAGUCAAGCGGAUGGGGACUGACUAUUUUAAAUGGUGCCUAAAGACAGAACAAGGGGCAACAGGCACAAAUUGGAGCAAAAUAAAUUCCAAACAUGAGGAAAAAUUUAUUUACUUUGAGGAUGGCAGAGCACUGGAACAGGCUGCUCAUAAUUCUGGCGGAGUCUCUUUCUCUGGAGAUAAUCAAAAUCUGCCCAGACCCUUUCUUGUGGAACCUACUGCAGGGAGUCUUCUUUAGGAGGGGUUUGGACUGGAUGAUCUCCAGAGGUCACUUCCAACCUCAUAUGAUUCUGUAAUUCUGUGAUCUUAUCAUUUCCGUCCAAGGGCCAGAUGGCAAUGACAUUCCCAGAGUUAAACAAAUGGUGCUGCUGAGCAAUCUGGACUAAAACUUGUCUCUGAUGUUGCAAAAAUAGUGCUUUGCAGAGUCUUUUCUCCUUUUGGUCUCUGCCUGACGUCUGCACAUUUUUGUCUGGGUGCUGACCACAGCCCAUCACCCUGUCACUUAAAAGAAACCAACUGGAUUGGUGGAUUAUAGCUGGUUUAUAAUUAAUGUAAAGAUCAAGAUGCUUGCCAAGUCAGUGAAUAGACUACAUCCAUCAUUUGAUCACCUACAGCUACAAAUACACCUGGGAGCAGCCCUUCACUUUGUGACUUUCUCAGAAAUGAGUGUGAGAGUAUCUUCGUUCCUCCCCCAUACUUACGAAUGCCAGAAUGGAAUGCUGCUAUUAUUCUGCUCUUGACUUUGCCCUCUGGGAUGUAACAUUCUGGUUAAACUGUGCAUUUGCAGACUUGUUUCUCAUUUUUGCUCUUGAUCAAGAUGAGAGCUGCAAGUGAAUCUAAUAUACAUAUGAUGAAAAAUACUUUGGAAAACAACACUGACAAACGAUGGCAAGAGGAGGCUGCUGUGAAACAAAACCCAGGAAGAGAGGACAAUUCAGAAUUUGAGAAACGUCAUUGGAGAGUUAGUGGCAAUAAAGGCAUUCCCCAGCUUUGGCAUUACAGAGGCCAUUUUGCAAUGACAAGAUGUGUAAUGUUGGCAAACGAGAAUGUUCAGCAUCCAAGCUGCUGGCCUGCAUCUCUGGCUGGAUCACUCAUGGAAUAAAGCAGUAUUUCACAUCCUAAAAGACUGUGUUCUGCCACUGCACUUCUCUCACAUUAAUAAGAGUGACUGGAAUUAUGUCAGCAUUUUAGAGCAACUCGUGCCUCCGAAUUCCAGGGCACUUUGUAGGGACAUGGUCUAAAUAGAAAAUGCAUCAGAGGACUCAUUAGCACUCUGUGCUUUUCCUGUCCUUCGGUUUCUUUUGUAAAAAGGGGCUGGUCCUGAAUCCCUCCUACAGUGCUUUGAGAACAGAGAAUAUACAUAGUAUGCUGGAAACUACAUGGCUGCAUUAACAACACUCCAGCUUGACUUGUUAUAAUCCUGAAUACGUGUACACUUACCACUGCAGAUCUGGCCUGUACACAGCUGUUGGCUGAGACACAGGGGAGCAGCCCAGUGUAGAGGUAGUUCUUUGAAUGUCAAAUUCCCUUUUCAAGCAUCCAGUUAUGGGAGGCAAUUCACUUGCAGCUUUGCUGAGCAUAUCCCAUUCAUAUAUGGUCCUUUUGGACAGCUGUCUUGGCUGUCUU
Molecule: long non-coding RNA, 1672 nt
Filed under: Phasianus colchicus (ring-necked pheasant)
Lineage: Eukaryota; Metazoa; Chordata; Aves; Galliformes; Phasianidae
Description: lncRNA (ENSPCLG00000011479.1)
Source: RNAcentral